RNAcentral lists this ribosomal RNA (615 nucleotides) under Lactifluus clarkeae. Its description in RNAcentral is "eukaryotic LSU rRNA". The stretch from base 235 to 388 matches the Rfam family "5.8S ribosomal RNA". The record is from RNAcentral. Lineage: Eukaryota; Fungi; Basidiomycota; Agaricomycetes; Russulales; Russulaceae.
GUAAAAGUCGUAACAAGGUUUCCGUAGGUGAACCUGCGGAAGGAUCAUUAUCGUACAACGAGAGGUGCCGGGGCUGUCGCUGACCUCGUCGUGCACGCCCCGAGCGUCAUCUCACACAACAUCCAUCUAACCUUUGUGCAUCACCGCGUGGGCUCCUCCGCAAAAGGGGCUUGCGUUUUUCACACAGACACCAGUGUAGAAUGUCCUUUUUUGCGAUUAGUACGCAAUCAAUACAACUUUCAACAACGGAUCUCUUGGCUCUCGCAUCGAUGAAGAACGCAGCGAAAUGCGAUACGUAAUGUGAAUUGCAGAAUUCAGUGAAUCAUCGAAUCUUUGAACGCACCUUGCGCCCCUUGGCAUUCCGAGGGGCACACCCGUUUGAGUGUCGUGAAAUCCUCAACCUUCACUGUUUCUUUGAUCAGGGAAGGCUUGGACUUUGGAGGCUAUUGCUGGUCUCUGCCCGAAACCAGCUCCUCUUAAAUGGAUUAGCAGGGUCCCCUUUGCCGAUCCUCGGACGUGAUAAGCUGCUUCUACGUCCCGGGGUUUGGUUUCUCUUGCCCCUUGCUUCUGGUCACCCUUUCGGGGGGGACUUUUGAACCCUUUGACCUCAAAUCG